Molecule: ribosomal RNA, 679 nt
Filed under: Peribacillus simplex
Lineage: Bacteria; Bacillati; Bacillota; Bacilli; Caryophanales; Bacillaceae
Description: bacterial SSU rRNA
Rfam family: Bacterial small subunit ribosomal RNA
Source: RNAcentral
UGCAAGUCGAGCGAAUCGACGGGAGCUUGCUCCCUGAGAUUAGCGGCGGACGGGUGAGUAACACGUGGGCAACCUGCCUAUAAGACUGGGAUAACUUCGGGAAACCGGAGCUAAUACCGGAUACGUUCUUUUCUCGCAUGAGAGAAGAUGGAAAGACGGUUUACGCUGUCACUUAUAGAUGGGCCCGCGGCGCAUUAGCUAGUUGGUGAGGUAAUGGCUCACCAAGGCGACGAUGCGUAGCCGACCUGAGAGGGUGAUCGGCCACACUGGGACUGAGACACGGCCCAGACUCCUACGGGAGGCAGCAGUAGGGAAUCUUCCGCAAUGGACGAAAGUCUGACGGAGCAACGCCGCGUGAACGAAGAAGGCCUUCGGGUCGUAAAGUUCUGUUGUUAGGGAAGAACAAGUACCAGAGUAACUGCUGGUACCUUGACGGUACCUAACCAGAAAGCCACGGCUAACUACGUGCCAGCAGCCGCGGUAAUACGUAGGUGGCAAGCGUUGUCCGGAAUUAUUGGGCGUAAAGCGCGCGCAGGUGGUUCCUUAAGUCUGAUGUGAAAGCCCACGGCUCAACCGUGGAGGGUCAUUGGAAACUGGGGAACUUGAGUGCAGAAGAGGAAGUGGAAUUCCAAGUGUAGCGGUGAAAUGCGUAGAGAUUUGGAGGAACACCAGUGGCGAA